This is a long non-coding RNA of Carassius gibelio (silver crucian carp), 749 nucleotides long. RefSeq lists it as uncharacterized. NCBI's taxonomy places the organism in Eukaryota, Metazoa, Chordata, Actinopteri, Cypriniformes, Cyprinidae. The record is from RefSeq and is a predicted model, not a curated record. The transcript has 3 exons.
UGUUGAUAGAUUUAGCGUUAUAGUUUUAAAAAUAUUAAUAAACAGCAAAUCAACACAGAAAGACCUAAAUAAUAAUAAUACAUAAUUAAUAAACAGCGCCGCCCCUCCCACUACGCGCAUCACGCGCUGUGCGUCAACCCCAAAGCGUCAAAAACUGAAGCGUGGUCAAGCGCCUCUAGCGUCACUGACAUGAGAUGUUUAUCGCUUUGAAAUCACGUUCAAGAAGUCUCAUUCAGCACACAUCGCGAUACUUUCCAUCAGUUUGCAAGAGCCGCAGGUUGGGUGAGUUAUACAGUCUAUGGUGAGUAGUAGUAAAUAUGCUCUUUUAAUGCCUGUCCUAAAACGUAUUCUGUCUUCUUUAUUAAUCAGAUGAGCGCCUUAUGUUUACUCUCUGUAUUACAUCGGUCAUCCGAGGCUGUCUUUGAGUUUCAUUGUGUUUAACUAAAUGAACACAGCUGCUAACUGGUUAAACUCUAUCGGUCACGUGACGUGACGUGACGUGCCACAGACCUGGGAUCCGUUUUAUAUUAAUUUCAGGUUCAAAGAUCUGAAAAGACGUAAAGUAAGCAGUCACCCCAGUGGUGUUUGUGGAGAGGUAUUCCUUCAGAAAUGGAGAAGACAGAAAGCUGCAGAGGCAGGAUUGUUUGCAGAUAAUGCUGUUCUUCUUUUUCAGAAGUUUUUGGGGAGCCAACCCUCACAAACCUUCCUAAAAACUAAAAGAGCUAUUACUGAGUCUCAGCAACUCUUGC